CUCCUAUUGUCCCAAUAUUCAUGGUAUCAAAAAUAACAUUUUGUGGCUCUAACAAAGUUGAUCAUUUUUUCUGUGAUUUAGUACCAGUUUUGAGAUUAUCCUGCAAUGGGGAUGGACUUGCUGAACUUGUAUGCUCAAUCUUUGCUUCAGCUGUCCUACUGAGUUCAUUUGGCAUUACUACUCUUUCCUAUACCCAUAUCACAUUUGCAGUCUGUCAAAUGUCAAAAUCUCAGAAUCUGCAGAAAAUGUUG
Molecule: non-coding RNA, 251 nt
Organism: Pelobates cultripes (western spadefoot toad)
Lineage: Eukaryota; Metazoa; Chordata; Amphibia; Anura; Pelobatidae
Source: the annotation of a GenBank genome assembly